CAACGCUUAUCAACAAUACAGUGAGGUUUCGUAUUAUGGGCAUAUGUCCCCGAAUGGUACCAUGUAUAAUUCAAGGUGCCAAGAGUUUAUCUGCGCAGCGAAAGACACCAUCAUCUUCACUCAAAAGAUUCACCAAGAUUGUUGUAAAUAUAACACGACAUGGUACCAUCAUGCUCAACCACUUUAUAAAGAAGACUGCAUUGGUUACGUCUGCUGGAAUGGAACUUGGUUGCAAACUAACCACACUGAAUUAAGUUGUUGCGAUAUAUGGAACUCAAUUCAUCAGUAUGAAAACUUCUAUCACGACGAUGUAGACGAAAGCCUUUAUAAUUGGUGGUAUACUAAUAGUAGCUGGACUAACGCUUAUCAACAUUACAGUGAGGUUUCAUAUUAUGGGCUUAUGCCCCCAAAUGUUACCAUGUAUAAUUCAAGGUGCCAAGAGUUUAUCUGCGUAGCGAAAGACACCAUCA
Long non-coding RNA from Macrobrachium nipponense, 470 nucleotides. RefSeq lists it as uncharacterized. The transcript is spliced from 3 exons. Lineage: Eukaryota; Metazoa; Arthropoda; Malacostraca; Decapoda; Palaemonidae. The record is from RefSeq and is a predicted model, not a curated record.